ACAUAGUAUGGUGCUUCUAAUAAAGAUAGAAGGUAAAAGGGAAUAUGGUGAAAAUCCAUAGCAGCCCCCACUACUGUGAUAGAUGAUGAAAGCCAAAGGAGGUUACCAUUGAGCUUUUAAUAGCUUGAGAAGGAUUUUGGUGAGUAGGAUGAUUCUUAAGUCAGGAAACCUGCCAUAACUUCA
This 183-nucleotide non-coding RNA is filed under the name uncultured Clostridium sp. The record is from RNAcentral. Lineage: Bacteria; Bacillati; Bacillota; Clostridia; Eubacteriales; Clostridiaceae.